Molecule: ribosomal RNA, 465 nt
Filed under: Vreelandella stevensii
Lineage: Bacteria; Pseudomonadati; Pseudomonadota; Gammaproteobacteria; Oceanospirillales; Halomonadaceae
Description: partial 16S ribosomal RNA
Rfam family: Bacterial small subunit ribosomal RNA
Source: RNAcentral
CCUACGGGUGGCAGCAGUGGGGAAUAUUGGACAAUGGGCGAAAGCCUGAUCCAGCCAUGCCGCGUGUGUGAAGAAGGCCUUCGGGUUGUAAAGCACUUUUAGCGGGGAAGAAAGCCUUGGGGCUAAUACCCUCGAGGAAGGACAUCACCCACAGAAGAAGCACCGGCUAACUCCGUGCCAGCAGCCGCGGUAAUACGGAGGGUGCGAGCGUUAAUCGGAAUUACUGGGCGUAAAGCGCGCGUAGGCGGUCUGAUAAGCCGGUUGUGAAAGCCCCGGGCUCAACCUGGGAACGGCAUCCGGAACUGUCAGGCUAGAGUGCAGGAGAGGAAGGUAGAAUUCCCGGUGUAGCGGUGAAAUGCGUAGAGAUCGGGAGGAAUACCGAUGGCGAAGGCGGCCCUCUGGACUGACACUGACGCUGAGGUGCGAAAGCGUGGGUAGCAAACAGGAUUAGAUACCCGAGUAGUC